RNAcentral lists this transfer RNA (72 nucleotides) under Marmota marmota marmota (Alpine marmot). It matches the Rfam family "tRNA". From Rfam's summary of the family: Transfer RNA (tRNA) molecules are approximately 80 nucleotides in length. RNAcentral also lists the same sequence under 1 other name. Lineage: Eukaryota; Metazoa; Chordata; Mammalia; Rodentia; Sciuridae. The record is from Rfam by way of RNAcentral.
GGGGAUGUAACUCAGUGGUAGAGAGCUUGCCUAGCAGGCACAAGGCCCUGGGUUAAAUCCCCAGCACCAUCA